GAUCCUUCUUUGCCUUUGUCUUCUGCAUCUGCUCCAGUAUAUCUGCAGCCUCAGCAAGUGAUCUCUGGAAAGAGUUAGAGAGGGAGGGGAAAAUCAUUAUGGAGAAGAAGCUGAUGAUAUGAAGUCAAGCGUCGCUGCCCUCAUCAAGAUCAUGGGAUUAUUUCUCUUGCUGGCCUCUUGUGGAGCAGCAUCUACACUUAGAUCCCAUGUUUUCCAUGAGUUGAUGGAUUUUCGGAAUCAACGAGCCAACCAGGCGAGCGGGAAGGAACCGCCGAUGGCACCGCAGUGGUGGUCAGAGGAUUACGGCAUGCCGGAGAGGCGGCAACCCGUGCACAAUAAGGUCGAGCCGUGAUAAGUCCUUCUUAAUCUUUAAUGGAAUCUUGUAAUGUGUAUGGUGCUUGAACAGUUGAUGCAAACGCAAGGAUCGCUUCAGUGUAAUUACUAGCAAGUAGUCACUAGGAUCCCUUCUUGGUUAUAAUGCAGUAAUGGUGUUGUAGUGGCACUUAGCUUGAACUAAGCCCUUUGAAGGAGAAUGUGAAAACGGGGUUUGUUUCUUG
This is a long non-coding RNA of Eucalyptus grandis, 557 nucleotides long. RefSeq lists it as uncharacterized. The transcript has 2 exons. The record is from RefSeq and is a predicted model, not a curated record. Lineage: Eukaryota; Viridiplantae; Streptophyta; Magnoliopsida; Myrtales; Myrtaceae.